This 460-nucleotide ribosomal RNA is filed under the name uncultured bacterium. Its description in RNAcentral is "partial 16S ribosomal RNA". It matches the Rfam family "Bacterial small subunit ribosomal RNA", at positions 338 to 795 of the family's 1533-position model. The record is from RNAcentral.
CCUACGGGAGGCAGCAGUGAGGAAUAUUGGUCAAUGGGCGGGAGCCUGAACCAGCCAAGUCGCGUGAGGGAAGACGGUCCUACGGAUUAUAAACCUCUUUUGCCGGGGAGCAACGGGGUCCUUGCGAGGGACCGAGGAGAGUACACGGAGAAAAAGCAUCGGCUAACUCCGUGCCAGCAGCCGCGGUAAUACGGAGGAUGCGAGCGUUAUCCGGAUUUAUGGGGUUUAAAGGGUGCGUAGGCGGGCUGUUAAGUCAGCGGUCAAAUGUCGGGGCUCAACCCCGGCCUGCCGUUGAAACUGGCGGCGUCGAGUGGGCGAGAAGUAUGCGGAAUGCGUGGUGUAGCGGUGAAAUGCAUAGAUAUCACGCAGAACUCCGAUUGCGAAGGCAGCAUACCGGCGCCCUACUGACGCUGAGGCACGAAAGCGUGGGUAUCGAACAGGAUUAGAUACCCCAGUAGUC